GCCCACCAGCUGCCGCCACCGCUUCCGUCUCCUGGUUCACACAGUUUUAACUCAUGGGACACAGUAGGGAGAAUGGGGAGAAGGAGGAAGCAUGAAUCUGGAAGGCUCAUCUGAAGAAUCACAUGAGAUGAAGUAUUUUUCGUGAAGAGUGCACUCUUGGUUGUACUAGGUUGAAUGGAUGUGGAAGCACAAUGGAAACUCUAAAGUACUCUAUAAAAAUAUAACAUAGCAUUAUUACCACAAUAAUUAUCAGGGACAAUUAAAGUGAACCUAGAGUAGGAGGAUCAUGGUGAUCUCUUUUGAGUAUUCACCUGAGUGUAUCUCCCUUAAUUUGUAUUCCUAGAGGGAAGAAUGUGAAGACAUAUUGACUUCAUUCCAUAUUUACAUAUUAUUGAUUGCCACUAGUGUGCAUUGAGUGAAAAUCUUUAUGAAAAAAAAUGGUGCUGUUGCAGCAGACUAUACUGUGGCAGCUUUAUUCACUCUUCUCUGAGGAUUGCAGCCCUUUAACCUUGAGAUAAGAUAAAAAAGUAAAUAUUUCAAGUAAAGAGCCUAAGAUUGCCAUAUUAAAACCAAAAAAAUGCAAUACAUGGAUAUUUAGUUCUGAUACACUGAAUCCAAUUGUAAAAUGACAUCGUCUAGAUAGAGAAAUUUGAAUAUGGACACUGUGUAAGAUGAAAUUAAGCGACUGCUGUUAGUUUUAUUAGAUGUAUUACUAUCACAGUGUUAGGGAAACCAUACAAACAAAGCAUGACCUUAUCAUUCAGAAAUUCAUACCGAAGCAUUUACACAUGAAAUGACAUGGCAUCGGGGAUUUGCUUUAAACCAACCUAGUAAGCAAAUAAAUAAACAAAAUUAGAAAAGGCACUCAUAGAUGAGAGGUGACCCUGGCUAAGCCAUGAUUAUUGUUGAAACUGAGGGCCUUGAUAGGAAGGGGUUCAUUUGCAUAUAUUUAUGUUAGAAAAUUUCUAUAAUAAAAGAACUUCAAAAAUUUCCACAUAGAAGAAUGAAGUAAUCUUGGGGGUGUGGAGGAGUUUCUAGAAUGCUUUUAUGAACAAUGAGUACUUUUGGAAACAUCACAAGCAACUCAUGCCAAGAAGAGGAUUAUUGUACUUCACUCUGGAACCUAUCCCUUUUCUAAGGGUGACUAAGAGAUAAAUCCCAACUUGUGCUCAUAACAGAAUAGUACAGUCAGUUCUCUUUCAAAGAAGGGGGGAAAUUGACAAGAAACUGACAACUGUUCUUCAAUCACCAAAAAUAAUUUGAAAGUCAAGUUUUUCUCAGGGCAUUCCUUGUGAGUUGAUGACUCUGAGAAACGACUGUUAACGGGACUCUGCAGGAUGUUGUGGUUAUCACUGUUGAUGUUUUUUGACGACCAACAAGG
Non-coding RNA from Odocoileus virginianus texanus, 1381 nucleotides. The record is from RefSeq and is a predicted model, not a curated record. Lineage: Eukaryota; Metazoa; Chordata; Mammalia; Artiodactyla; Cervidae.